ACUCUCUUUGUGACAGACAGGAAGAAAAUACAGAAACCACCCAAAACAUCCUAGCAACUGUAUAGCAACCAGCCAGAGUACCUUAACAACUGCCUAGCAAUCUUAACAUCAGCAAAUUUUUGGCUUGGCCAAACCAGGCGUCACAGUGCUGUUUACCAGAGACCGUGUGAGGCGCAGG
Molecule: long non-coding RNA, 178 nt
Organism: Cyprinus carpio (common carp)
Lineage: Eukaryota; Metazoa; Chordata; Actinopteri; Cypriniformes; Cyprinidae
Source: Ensembl